UGGGGCGAUNUUGCACAAUGGGGGAAACCCUGAUGCAGCAACGCCGCGUGAGGUAUGAAGGCCUUUGGGUUGUAAGCCUCUGUCCUAGGGGAAGAAAAAAAUGACGGUACCCGAGGAGGAAGCCCCGGCUAACUACGUGCCAGCAGCCGCGGUAAUACGUAGGGGGCAAGCGUUAUCCGGAAUUAUUGGGCGUAAAGAGUGCGUAGGUGGUCUACUAAGCGCGAGGUGAAAGGCAAUGGCUCAACCAUUGUUAGCCUUGCGAACUGGCAGACUUGAGUGCAAGAGAGGAAAGCGGAAUUCCUAGUGUAGCGGUGAAAUGCGCAGAUAUUAGGAGGAACACCGGCGGCGAAGGCGGCUUUCUGGAUUGUAACUGACACUGAGGCACGAAAGCGUGGGUAGCAAACAGGAUUAGAUACCCUGGUAGUCCACGCCGUAAACGAUGAGCACUAGGUGUCGGGACAUGAGUCUCGGUGCCGCAGUUAACGCAAUAAGUGCUCCGCCUGGGGAGUACGCACGCAAGUGUA
RNAcentral lists this ribosomal RNA (524 nucleotides) under uncultured bacterium. RNAcentral's name for it is "bacterial SSU rRNA". It matches the Rfam family "Bacterial small subunit ribosomal RNA", at positions 354 to 896 of the family's 1533-position model. The record is from RNAcentral.